Molecule: long non-coding RNA, 2417 nt
Filed under: Homo sapiens (human)
Lineage: Eukaryota; Metazoa; Chordata; Mammalia; Primates; Hominidae
Description: HSALNT0280424
Rfam family: mir-1302 microRNA precursor family (bases 1342-1393)
Source: RNAcentral
CAUGUCAACUACAUGUGAAGAGAAACAGAAGUCCUUUAAAGGGAGACAGAAUUCAACUCUAUAUGAGGAUGAACUUUUAACAACUCUGUGACUGAACAUGGAACAUACCACCUUGGAAGGUGGCACAAGUGAUCCUGAACUUUUGCUGCUGUGUGCUGGACUUCUGUGAAUGUGAUUAAAGAAACGUUAGCACCAACAGGGAGGCAGUGAGGAGAAAAUUGAGAAAGGCACAACAUUAAAAGGUAAUGUACAGCAAAGAGGAUAUUUGUGCUUGUUUACUUGUUUUCCUUAUCUAUGGCAGGACAAAAUGUUCCUGAGAGGUAGCGAAGAGUGAGACAGGGCAGCUAACAGGAUAGAUUUAUCUCUUCCAGCCCAGAGUAUGUGCAGGAAACCUUUCAGUGGAUGCAGUCAGAACUCAGUGAGCUCAUACCCACAUAAACUCCUCAAUAUAAGCAAUGUCUCACAACAAAUAUUCAGCUUUACAUCUAGGUAUUUGCAGCAUUAAUAGGGACUGUGAAAUAUUUUUGUUUUCAUUCCAACAGAGUAGCAUAUAACUAUUACUUCACCAGCAGGAUUAAUUUAUCAAAUAUUUUCUGGAACAGAUUUUGAAAAAUCUUUCUCUCUCUACUGUACAUAAAAUGUUAACUUUAGUUCUCAAGCAAUAUUGUUACAGGAGGUAACAUUCUUCAUAUCAAAGGGUAUGUUUCUCUCCCAGAGUUUGAAAUGGAAAACAGGUGCAAGCCUUUUGAUAGCCUCUAUGAGAUUGGGUUAUAAACCAGAACAGUGCUUUCCAAGCAUGUCUGCACACCAGAAUUGCCUGGGGAGCUGCAGAAAUACAGAGGCUGGUGCCCCUCCUAACAUUGAGGUUUAGUUGGUGUAAGGUGUGUCUAAGGCUUGGGAUUUUUAAAAUAUCCCCAGGCGAUUCUAAUGUGCAGGCAAGUUUGGGAACCACAGGACUGGAGAUCUUGAGCUAUGCAUUUCAAACCUGAAGUCUCUGGACAGUGUAAAGCUUAGAAUUCUGCACUAAAGUUUAAGUUGAGAUAAUGAGGCCAGUCUCACUGGAUUUAUCAUGUUGCAAUCUACAUGGGUACGGCAUAAUUUACAUAAAGCCAGAGCAAUUGAUGAAAAAAAGUCAAUCAGAUCAGUGAUGUACACGCACGCACGCGCGCACACACACACACACACACACACACACACACACACACACACACACACACACACAGUCAAUAUUUAGAAGAACCAGGAUUUUAAAGUAACUUUGUCAAAUCAAGUAUAUAUCCCCAAUUAGAGUUGCCAGAUAAAUACAGGGAGCCCAGUUACUUCCGAAUUUCAGAUAAACAAUUUUUAGUAUAAGUAUGUCCCAUGCAAUAUUUGGUAUGUGCUUAUACUAAAAAUUGUUUCUUGUUAUCUGAAAUUCCAGUUUAACUCCAUGAUAUGUAUUUUUAUUUGCUGAAUCUGACAAUCCUCCCCAAUUUUAAAGGCCUAAGCUGAGCACUAAGUCAGUGUAGUAGGACAAAUCAGAACAAAAAUUAACCUUGGCUUCUUGCUUAUUGUGUGCUCUUCUGUUUUCUGAAUUACAUUGCCUAGCUAACCAACUCAAGCUCUACAUUGUCUGAACUGAGGGGCAAUCAUACCUUAUUCUGCCUCUUCUGUCUUCUUCGGAGGCGCAGGAACUCCUUGUGUUGCCUGGAGACGAAGUUCACCGCUGCGUAUUCCAGUAAGGCAGCAAACACAAACAGAAGGCACACCGCCAUCCAGAUGUCAAUCGCUUUUACAUAGGAGACCUGAGAGAGAGAGAGAGACACACACACACACAGAGAGAGAGAGAGAGAGAAAGAAAGACUAUGAAAGCCUGCCAGGAAACCAGAUUCUUAAUGGUGUGAGCAGCAAAAUAACCUAAUUUCCUUGGUCAAUGAUUUUCCAGCGUUUUCUUAAGAAAGUGCUUAAGCCAUUGAUUCUACUUUGAAGAUUCUGGGCAGAGCACUGAAAGUCACACGCCCCUGAACCAGUAGCUUUAUUCCUGAGACCAGCUCCAAUGACUUCAAGAAUUUCCUUAAUGACAGAUUUUAAGUGUUCUCACUACAAAUAAAUAUGUGAAAUAAUGCAUAUGUUAAGUAGCUCAAUUUAGACAUUCCAUGAUGUGUACAUAUAUUGAAACAUGUUAUACACCAUAAAUAUAUACAAUUUUUACUUAUCAAUUAAAAAUAAUUAUUCUCUUAAUUAGACAAGAAAAACAAAACUUUGAGGCAAAAUAGAUGGGUGCUAUUAUUCAAACUGCUCACUUCUAUUUUUUAAAUUGAAAUUUAAAAAUCAAUAUAAUUAAGAUAAUUUCAAAACAUGGAUGAGAAAUAAACUAUAUAUGGCCUUAGGCUCUUCAAAAGCCAAUUUGUAAUUUUCUUCAAUUUACUGAUCCUAAC